Molecule: ribosomal RNA, 253 nt
Filed under: uncultured bacterium
Lineage: Bacteria
Description: partial 16S ribosomal RNA
Rfam family: Bacterial small subunit ribosomal RNA
Source: RNAcentral
UACGGAGGGGGCUAGCGUUGUUCGGAAUUACUGGGCGUAAAGCGCAUGUAGGCGGCUCGGAAAGUCGGAUGUGAAAGCCCAGGGCUCAACCCUGGAAGUGCACUCGAAACUCCCGAGCUUGAGUCCCGGAGAGGAAGGCGGAAUUCUCGGUGUAGAGGUGAAAUUCGUAGAUAUCGAGAGGAACACCUGUGGCGAAGGCGGCCUUCUGGACGGUGACUGACGCUGAGAUGCGAAAGCGUGGGGAGCAAACAGG